AAAGGAAUAGACGGGGGCCCGCACAAGCAGCGGAGCGUGUGGUUUAAUUCGAUGAUACGCGAAGAACCUCACCCAGGUUUGACAUGCAUGUGGUACCGAUCCGAAAGGUGAAGGACCCCUCGGGGAGCAUGCACAGGUGUUGCACGGCCGUCGUCAGCUCGUGCCGUGAGGUGUUGGGUUAAGUCCCGCAACGAGCGCAACCCCUAUCGCCAGUUGUAUUUUUCUGGCGAGACUGCCGAGAAAUCCUCGGAGGAAGGAGGGGACGAUGUCAGGUCAGCGUGGCCCUUACGCCUGGGGCUACACACACGCUACAAUGGGUGGUACAACGGGUCGCCAAGCCGCGAGGCGGAGCUAAUCCCAUCAAAGCCAUCCUCAGUUCGGAUUGCAGGCUGAAACCCGCCUGCAUGAAGCCGGAGUUGCUAGUAACCGCAGGUCAGCAUUACUGCGGUGAAUACGUUCCCGGGCCUUGUACACACCGCCCGU
Molecule: ribosomal RNA, 483 nt
Filed under: uncultured bacterium
Lineage: Bacteria
Description: bacterial SSU rRNA
Rfam family: Bacterial small subunit ribosomal RNA
Source: RNAcentral